This 2699-nucleotide long non-coding RNA is filed under the name Triticum aestivum (bread wheat). RNAcentral describes it as "long non-coding RNA (TAES_LNC025533)". The record is from RNAcentral. Lineage: Eukaryota; Viridiplantae; Streptophyta; Magnoliopsida; Poales; Poaceae.
AACAACGCACAUAGGUUCCAUCCGAACGUCAACUAGCCCGCAGAAACAGAAAAAAUAUAUUUCAAUCAAUGGGUUAAGGAAUAAAAAAUAAUAGGAAACCUAAACAAAUAAGGACAACGAUUGGACCUAACCAGACCUCACAUGAGAAACUUCCAAAACAGGAACCAUGACACGAAAAAAGACCGAUCUGCUUUCUCCACGGUCACAACCACCUGAACCCACACACCUCCACCCAUAUAUAAAUGAGUACAGCCAGCCGCAGAAGCACACACCCAAAGAAUUAGAAGUCAGCAAAGACGUCACACGCGACUAGGCAACUCGACGUCGACACGAAAAGCCACCUCAGCCACCUCCAGCCGCUUCACUUGACGUCCGAUGAAGUCACGCCAAAGCACGCUCAACGCAUGACGAAGCCACGCCCAGCUACUCCAAUCGACAUCGGACGAAGGGACGCCAAAGCACUUUUGGCCUGAAUCAUCAGAUAAUUUAGUAAUUGUUAUUAACAGUCUUAUUUUCUCUAGAUAUAAUCUUUAUAAAUAUUGUAUCAAUUGAAAAAUUGUUCCCUAUUAAUAUUCAAGGCAAAACACUAUGGCAUGUAACAAGUUGAGCGACUUAAAUACAAGGGGACAUCACUGGAACAUUCAAGUAAAACAAAUGUGAAUAUGGGAUUCAUUCAAUCCUACCACCGAUGAGCUUAUUAGCCUAGAUAUGAUACACGUGCAAAGUAACAUUACAAAUCGACCAAAUAAUCGGUGCGGAGAUCCCAGACAAAGAUGACGAUCCGGACGGAUAUGAAACUGUGGAAAAUUUCAUGAUGCACGGGCCUUGCAGAGUGUCAAAUACAAAAUCAUCAUGCAUGAUUGACAACAGACGCACUAAGCACUUCCCAAAAGGAUACAAUGUCGAUACCACAAACGAUGAGGAUGGCUUUCCAGUAUAUAGAAGGCGAUACAAUGGAAGGAAAAUCAAAAAGGGAGGAGCAAUGCUCAACGAUAGAUUUGUCGUACCCUACAACCGAAACCUUUUGGCCAAUUCCAAGCUCACAUAAAUGUCAAGUGGUGCCACAGGCCAAGGUCAAUCAAGUACCUACCUAUUUAAGAACAUCCAUAAAGAUGACGACCAGGUAACAACCUUGCUAAAGGGAAGAGAUGCGGCAAAUGACUAUGAUGACAUCAAGAAAUACCUAGAGAUGAGAUACAUAUCAACAACUGAAGCAUGCUGGCAAACAUUCCUGUUUGAUAUACACCAUCAUGAUCCACCAGUCGAGAGACUACCAUUCCACAUUAAAAAUGAGCAAGAACUUAUUUUUCCGGACUCGACUGACAUAGAGAAGAUAGUAAGAAGGCCAGGAUCCACGAGUACUAAGUUCACUGAGUGGAUGGAGGCAAACAAAAUACAUGAGGCGGGAAAAGAAUUAACCUAUGCAGAAUUACCAUCAAAAUUUGUAUGGAAAAGCGAAACCAAAACCUGAGGAGCGGAAAAGGGGCUUCACUAUUGGGAGAAUCUACUAUGGACACCCUGCAAGUGGAGAUAGAGAAACUAAUGAGGCAAGCAAGAAAAACACUAAAGGACUAUCCAGACAUAGAACUACGAAAUGCUAUAGAACUUGAACAACUUGGGAACAGAAUGAUAAACGAAGAACUUAUCUACGACAUGGAGGCACUAAAGAAUGAGCACGAAACCAUAAUAAGCAAUGUCAACCACAGCUAGAAAAUGACCUUUGAUGCAAUAAUAGAAUCAGCUGAGAAAGGACUUGGAAAACAGAUAUUUGUAGAAGGCUAUGGUGGCACAUGCAAAACUUACCUAUGGAAAGCAAUUACAACGAAGCUACGAUCAGAAGGAAAGAAAGUGAUUUCGGUAGUAUCAUCUGGCAUUGCAGCUUUGCUCCUAUAAGGUGGAAGAACAGCGCACUCAAGAUUCCACAUUCCAAUAAAUACGACGGAAGAAUCAACAUGUGAAAUAAAACAAGGAUCACAUUUGGCUGAACUGGUAAAGAAAACCUCGGUGAUAUUAUGGGACGAGGCUCCUAUGACAAACACUGCUUCGAUGCACUAGAAAAAAGCCUUAGGGAUAUUCUAAGGUUCACAAACCAAAAUAGUGACGAAAGGCCAUUUGGUGACAUGACAGUUGUGCUAGAAGGCGACUUCAGAAAAAUACUUCAAGUGAUAACAAAGAGCAGAUAGUAAAUGCCUCGGUCAAAGGUCAUACCUACGGAAGUACUUUUAAAUAUUUUUCUAACUGAAAACAUGCGGCUAAAGUUUGUCAGAAGAUCCAAUACAAAAGCAAAAUGUGGCCGAAUUUGCAGAAUGGAUCAAAUUGCGAUAAAAAAAUGAUGAAGCAGAUGAUUGGGUAAGAAUACGUAAAGACCUACUUCUACUUAAAGGAGAAGACCCCAAAUAAGAGAUAGUAAAAAUCACGUACCCAAACUUGCAGCAAAACUAUCGUAACAGUGAAUUUGUCGAAGAAAGAGCAAUACUAUGUCCAAGGAAUGAAAUAGUUGAGAGAAGAUAAAUUACUACAUAAUGAGCCAAAUACAAGGUGAAGAGAUGACAUACCUAUACUUGGACACUGUAUGCAAGGCAACAAUGAAUUACAACACAAUGGAGAAUAUGUGUCUAGCAGAGUUCCUCAACAACAUGACCUUCCCAGGAAUUCCAAUCCACGAGCUAAAACUGAAGGUAGGCUUGCAGGUGAUGCUC